This 391-nucleotide long non-coding RNA is filed under the name Elaeis guineensis (African oil palm). Its description in RNAcentral is "long non-coding RNA (EGUI_LNC082242)". Lineage: Eukaryota; Viridiplantae; Streptophyta; Magnoliopsida; Arecales; Arecaceae. The record is from RNAcentral.
CGGUGAAAUCAUCGGCUUUCAUUCUCUGCCUCUCAACGCCUUUUUCUCAGGACUUCGAAUUCUGCCUCCGUGUCCUUGAUGGCCUGCUGCUCGCAUGCCAGCUGGAUCUUCACUUGCUACAGCUCGGCCUUCCCCUCCCCAAGGGUGACAGAUAACUCUUCCACGGUUCUUCUCAGGGACUGGAGUUUGUUGGAAUCCCGAGCGGAAGCAAGCUGAGCCUCUCCGACUAGCUGCCCUUGAAGGUGGGCAACUUCGUCUGUCGCCCUCCUGAGCCUCCCCUUGUAUUCAUCCACCUGCUUGCGUCAGUCGACCCGGUACGCGUCAUAGCUCACCUCGGCAUCCUGGAGCUAUUGCUGGAGGUUGGAGACCUUCUUUGACCACUCCCGAUCGC